GAUGAACGCUGGCGGCGUGCUUAACACAUGCAAGUCGAACGGUAAGGCCCCAGCUUGCUGUGUUCCAUGAGUGGCGAACGGGUGAGUAACACGUGGCUGACCUGCCCUGCACAUCGGGAUAAGCCUGCGAAACCUGGUCUAACACCGGAUAGGACCCUGGUGUGGAUAUUGUGGUGGAAAGUGUCUCGGGUGUGGGAUGGGCGUGCGGCCUAUAAGCGCGUUGGUGGGGUAUUGGCCUACCAAGGCGGCGACGGGUAGCCGGCCUGAGAGGGUGGACGGCCACAUUGGGACUGAGGCACGGCCCAGACGCCUACGGGAGGCAGCAGUGGGGAAUAAUGCACAGUGGGCGGAAGCCUGAUGCAGCGACGCCGCGUGGGGGAUGACGGCCGUCGGGUUGUAGACACCUUUCACCAUCGACGAAGAGUUUCUGACGGUAGAUGGGGAAGAAGCACCGGCUAACUACGUG
RNAcentral lists this ribosomal RNA (466 nucleotides) under uncultured bacterium. RNAcentral describes it as "partial 16S ribosomal RNA". It matches the Rfam family "Bacterial small subunit ribosomal RNA", at positions 28 to 507 of the family's 1533-position model. The record is from RNAcentral.